Molecule: long non-coding RNA, 328 nt
Filed under: Parus major (Great Tit)
Lineage: Eukaryota; Metazoa; Chordata; Aves; Passeriformes; Paridae
Description: lncRNA (ENSPMJG00000011658.1)
Source: RNAcentral
CUUUUCACAUCUUCAAAUUUCUUCCAUUUAUAUUUUUCAUUGUCAGUUUCCAGUGCAGCUUAACUCUGAGUGUGCUGAAGCUUGAAAUGUAGCUUCCGAUUUAUAAUAGCGACAGGACAUGCAGCAAAUGUCAACAAAUCCCCUGUCACCCAGGCAAGGAGGAAAUGUGAGAGAAAUGUCCAAGUCUCCUAAUAAAGGUGGGAAAGCUGCAAGUGAGCCACAAUGGAAGAUGAUGAAGCUCCAACUGGCAAGGAACAAUAUGUUCACAGUAGAUGAAAGUGUGGCAGCUCUUUUAGGUCCUCGACUACUGCGUGGAUGUUUUCUGUAG